GUCGACAGUCAGGUAACGAGCGAGACCACUGCGUCUAGUUGCUACCAUUACUCUCUGGAGCAGUGGAGCGAAUUAGACGGACCGCCACAGUUAAUGUGGAGGAAGGAAGGGGCCACGGCAGGUCAGUAUGCCCCGAAACCCUAGGGCUACACGCGGGCUGCAAUGGUAUUGACAAUGUGUUCCGAAUCCGAAAGGAGGAGGCAAUCAUCAAACAAUAUCUCAGUUAUGACUGAGGGCUGUAACUCGCCCUCACGAAUAUGGAAUCCCUAGUAACCGCGCGUCAUUACCGCGCGGUGAAUACGUCCCUGCUCCUUGCACGAAUUCGCCG
Molecule: ribosomal RNA, 328 nt
Filed under: uncultured Thermoprotei archaeon
Lineage: Archaea; Thermoproteati; Thermoproteota; Thermoprotei
Description: bacterial SSU rRNA
Rfam family: Archaeal small subunit ribosomal RNA
Source: RNAcentral